RNAcentral lists this ribosomal RNA (253 nucleotides) under uncultured bacterium. RNAcentral describes it as "partial 16S ribosomal RNA". It matches the Rfam family "Bacterial small subunit ribosomal RNA", at positions 524 to 776 of the family's 1533-position model. The record is from RNAcentral.
UACGAAAGGUCCAAGCGUUACUCGGAAUUACUGGGCGUAAAGCGCGCGUAGGCGGCCUUGUAUGUCGAUUGUGAAAGCCCCGGGCUCAACCUGGGAACAGCAGUCGAAACUGCAAGGCUUGAAUGUUGGAGAGGGUGGGGGAAUACCUAGUGGAGAAGUGAAAUUCGUAGAGAUUAGGUGGAACGCCAGAGGCGAAGGCGCCUGCCUGGCCAAACAUUGACGCUGAGGCGCGAAAGCUUGGGUAGCAAACUGG